RNAcentral lists this ribosomal RNA (1530 nucleotides) under uncultured bacterium. RNAcentral describes it as "partial 16S ribosomal RNA". It matches the Rfam family "Bacterial small subunit ribosomal RNA". The record is from RNAcentral.
AGAGUUUGAUCCUGGCUCAGAUUGAACGCUGGCGGCAUGCCUUACACAUGCAAGUCGAACGGCAGCACGGGAGCAAUCCUGGUGGCGAGUGGCGAACGGGUGAGUAAUGUAUCGGAACGUGCCCAAUCGUGGGGGAUAACGUAGCGAAAGUUACGCUAAUACCGCAUACGAUCUACGGAUGAAAGCGGGGGAUCGCAAGACCUCGCGCGAUUGGAGCGGCCGAUAUCAGAUUAGGUUGUUGGUGGGGUAAAGGCUCACCAAGCCGAUGAUCUGUAGCUGGUCUGAGAGGACGACCAGCCACACUGGGACUGAGACACGGCCCAGACUCCUACGGGAGGCAGCAGUGGGGAAUUUUGGACAAUGGGCGAAAGCCUGAUCCAGCAAUGGCCGCGUGCAGGACGAAGGCCUUCGGGUUGUAAACUGCUUUUGUACGGAACGAAACAGCUCUUUCUAAUAAAGAGAGCAAAUGACGGUACCGUAAGAAUAAGCACCGGCUAACUACGUGCCAGCAGCCGCGGUAAUACGUAGGGUGCAAGCGUUAAUCGGAAUUACUGGGCGUAAAGCGUGCGCAGGCGGUUUUAUAAGACAGAGGUGAAAUCCCCGGGCUCAACCUGGGAACUGCCUUUGUGACUGUAAGGCUAGAGUGUGUCAGAGGGGGGUAGAAUUCCACGUGUAGCAGUGAAAUGCGUAGAUAUGUGGAGGAAUACCGAUGGCGAAGGCAGCCCCCUGGGAUAACACUGACGCUCAUGCACGAAAGCGUGGGGAGCAAACAGGAUUAGAUACCCUGGUAGUCCACGCCCUAAACGAUGUCUACUAGUUGUCGGGACUUAAUUGUCUUGGUAACGCAGCUAACGCGUGAAGUAGACCGCCUGGGGAGUACGGUCGCAAGAUUAAAACUCAAAGGAAUUGACGGGGACCCGCACAAGCGGUGGAUGAUGUGGAUUAAUUCGAUGCAACGCGAAAAACCUUACCUACCCUUGACAUGGUUGGAAUCCCGAAGAGAUUUGGGAGUGCUCGCAAGAGAACCAAUACACAGGUGCUGCAUGGUUGCCGUCAGCUCGUGUCGUGAGAUGUUGGGUUAAGUCCCGCAACGAGCGCAACCCUCGUUCUGUGUUACCAGCAUUUAGUUGGGGACUCACAGGAGACUGCCGGGGUCAACUCGGAGGAAGGUGGGGAUGACGUCAAAUCAUCAUGCCCCUUAUGUCUUGGGCUGCACGCAUGCUACAAUGGCCGGUACAAAGUGCUGCGAGAUCGUAAGAUUGAGCGAAUCACAUAAAGCCGGUCUCAGUUCGGAUUGAGGUCUGCAACUCGACCUCAUGAAGUCGGAGUUGCUAGUAAUCGUAGAUCAGCAACGCUACGGUGAAUACGUUCCCGGGGCUUGUACACACCGCCCGUCACGUCACGAAAGUCGGUAACACCCAAAGUUAGUGGCCCAACCGCAAGGGGGGAGCUACCUAAGGUGGGAUCGGUGAUUGGGACGAAGUCGUAACAAGGUAGCCGUACCGGAAGGUGCGGCUGGAUCACCUCCUU